Molecule: long non-coding RNA, 367 nt
Organism: Corvus hawaiiensis (hawaiian crow)
Lineage: Eukaryota; Metazoa; Chordata; Aves; Passeriformes; Corvidae
Exons: 5
Source: RefSeq, a predicted model, not a curated record
GUAUGUGCCGCAACGAUAGCGUCAGCCUGGGAGCGCAGCCGAAGCGUGCGGCCCCAAGGAGCCCGGCCCUCUUAGGAGAUGCCAACUAAGAGACAACGGCCUGGUAACGGCUGGAACUUCCCAGAUGGCGAGGUGGCCUUCUUUCACACCUGAUGCAGAUUUGCAUCCCCGGACAGCCGAGAGACGCAGAUCGAUUAUAUCUGUGGCGGAGCGCUCCAUACCAGGUGGUAAAGCCGGAUCUUAGCAGUCAGUGUCGAGUGAGCGAGGCGGUCCACUUGCAUUACGCCGAACCCCCUCGCAGAACGGCCGACGGACCCGGCUCGCCGCCCUCGUGACCCCUCCGCAAGUAUCGCAAAGCUCUGCGAUG